UACGACUACAUAUCAGGCAUAUCAAUAAGCGGAGGAAAAGAAACUAACAAGGAUUCCCUUAGUAACGGCGAGUGAAGCGGGAAGAGCUCAAAUUUGAAAUCUUCAAGGUUCUACCUUGACGAAUUGUAGUUUAAAGAAGUGUUUUCUGUUAGAUGAGUAGCAAAAGUUCCUUGGAGUGGGACAUCAUAGAGGGUGAGAAUCCCGUAUUUGGUUAUUCAUUCUAGCUUUGUGAUACACUUUCAAAGAGUCGGAUUGUUUGGGAAUGCAGUCCAAGAUGGGUGGUAAAUUUCAUCUAAAGCUAAAUAUUGGCGAGAGACCGAUAGCGAACAAGUACCGUGAGGAAAGAUGAAAAGAACUUUGAAAAGAGAGUUAAGCAGUACGUGAAAUUGUCAAAAGGGAAGCGUUUGACACCAGUGUUGUUUUUCCGAAAAUCAAUUACGAAUGGCUUGAUUUUGUGUUGUAUUGACCUUAUCAGCUUUCUGCACUUUUUUCGAGUCUUUCUUAAUGCACUUUUCGGUUAACAAGUCAACAUCAAUUUCUUUUGUUGUAAAAGAGUAUUCGGAAGGUGGCUUUCUUUUCGGAGAAAGUGUUUAUAGCCCUAUACUUCUACAAUCGGAGAGAUUGAGGUCUGCAGCGUAGAUCCUUCGGGGUUAGAUACACUUUGUGCUAAGUUGUAGCUUUUCAUAGACAACUUGUUGACUAUGUUUAGUCAUGCGGCUUACUCGCUUAUGCUAUUUUACCUACGCUUAGGAUGUUGAGUAGCGACAUACGCAC
RNAcentral lists this ribosomal RNA (774 nucleotides) under uncultured Neocallimastigales. RNAcentral's name for it is "partial large subunit ribosomal RNA". It matches the Rfam family "Eukaryotic large subunit ribosomal RNA", at positions 24 to 649 of the family's 3401-position model. The record is from RNAcentral. Lineage: Eukaryota; Fungi; Neocallimastigomycota; Neocallimastigomycetes; Neocallimastigales.